CGUAUCUUACCAGUUCCAUCGACGACGAGGUAAAAGAACGAGUUUUACUGACUACUUAUCAGCGUUAAAGCCGCUUCAUCGGAGAAAAUGUUCAGGCCAGUUUCGAUGAUUUUACUAGCUUCUCUAGUCAUCUCUUCUAAGGGAGACGUCCAUUGCCCCGUUUGCAGGCAAACGGUAUUCAAUAACUUUUGCACAAUCCACAGUUGCGGGCACGAAGUUUGCAUUAGGUGCCUCACUAAAAUUGUAUGUUCGGAAAAUCCUACGUGUCCCACGUGCUCAGUUCGUAUUGGCAAGGUGACGGGCACAAGUAAGUACGAAUCGGAGCUGGACAAUUUCAAACAAGCCGUCGUGAACAAGACGGUUACCGUCGAGAGGAUCAUUGCGCGCUACUAUCUCCUCCCGCCGUGGCAAUUUGCCGACGAAAUAAUGCUGGACGACAUUGGUGCAGUCGUAUACAAGUACGGUGCUGUGUCGCGGGACAAGAUUAUCCAGGGGAUAAGGAGCAACGUCAACGGUUAUACGUUCGUGGAGGACGUCAAGGAGCGGAGCAAUUUUUUUUGCUUCAAGUAUGAUAACAAUGAAAGAGAAUUAAAAAUAUUGCACCAGUUCUACGAUAGAUGGAGAUACGACGUCCAACAAGAGUAUCUGAUGCGAGAGUUCGUGUACGAGUGAGAGUCGGACGACUAGUCCGGUAACGUGGUACGACCGCGCGGUCGACACGAGCGAAUAGUCUUGUAUUUUAUCGGAAAUAAAAACUUAUCAUUCCGUUA
Long non-coding RNA from Daktulosphaira vitifoliae (grape phylloxera), 770 nucleotides. RefSeq lists it as uncharacterized. The record is from RefSeq and is a predicted model, not a curated record. Lineage: Eukaryota; Metazoa; Arthropoda; Insecta; Hemiptera; Phylloxeridae. The transcript is spliced from 4 exons.